Serinus canaria (Common canary) is the source of this 1573-nucleotide long non-coding RNA. Ensembl lists it as uncharacterized. NCBI's taxonomy places the organism in Eukaryota, Metazoa, Chordata, Aves, Passeriformes, Fringillidae. The record is from Ensembl.
GGAGAAGCCUGAGGGAGGAACCUGCCCUGGCACUGUGGAGGAUCUGGGAGAGCUCCAGCCCUGCUGGAGCUGAGCCCCCCGGGCAGCCCCAUGGACUCUCCCCACCUCCUGCACUUGGGAUUCCUGCUCCUGGCUCUUGCUGCUCCCCCUCCAAGUAUUGCCAUGUCCAAUGUUGACCCUACUAAGGGGACACAAGGCAGCACAACUAUGGCAGUCUACUACUGUAAGGACUAUGAAAGCUGCAAAUGCAAGAAUGGGAAAAUCAAUUUUGAAAACUUUACAAAAAUCGCUGAAAUAAAAAACAAGAUAAAUAUUAUUCCAGAUGUAACAGUUGAGUUGGUGACCAACAAAUCACAUAUCACUGUUUGCUUUGAGCAAGCAAAUUCCCAUCUUGAAGGAAUUUAUGGCAUCUUCUCGGAUGAAACUGAUCCACCAAAACUCUGGUGUGGCAUCCUGAAUUCUGGAGAAAAUGGAGGAGGUACCAUCAGUCCUGAGGACAAGAAUGUUUGCUGUGAAGCAGAGGCAGAUGCCUGGCAGCACACCCCCAAACUGAAGUGCUACAUUCAAAAGCCACGUCCAAAACACACUGCACUGCCAGUUGCCAUUGCUGGUAAUCCUGAAUUUCUCACCAGCAAAAAGAACAGCCUUGGCAUCUUAUUGGCAUUCCUGUUUGUUGGGGUUUGCACAGGAUGGGGCACCAUGUUUUACUUCUUGCGGCUGCGGCGUCACCAAGCUUCUAGGCAAGACAGACAGGCUUCUGACAGAGAAAAGCUCACACAUCCUUGAUAACCAUCUACAAGGGAGAAAACCUCUCUGCCAGCAGCAUCCUCCUCCUCUCUCACGAUGUUCAGCAACCAGAUGAACACAGACUGAUUUUCCAUGGGAACUCCUGCCCUUGUGUUUCCAAAUAAUCCUGUUUUCACCAAGGUACUUUCACCACAUCCACACCUUCCCCAAGCACUGACUCUUGUUCAGCUCCAGGCCUUUGGAGCAGCACAGGCAGCACCAGGAGCCCCCAUCCUCUCCUUGGCUUGGCAGCACACAGCAGGCACCCCAGGGUGUGUGGCUGACUCAGCAGCACUAAAAUCAGCUGAAUUCUCUCUGUAACAAAGUGGGAACAGCUCUGAAAUGCUUCCCAUGCCCUCUGCAUGGCUGUCCCUUGGUAAUGCCACAGCAGCACCCAGGUGUCUGUAUUUGAAUUCUCAGGCCAACUCUGCAUCUGCCAAAGCCUUUUGCACCACAAGGUGGCUGAUAGGUUGAACUGGAAUAGUUUGGAAGAGAUAUUUGAUUUUGCCCCCACCUGCAGGCUGAGGACACGUCUGAGUGUUUCUGCAGGGCUGGGUGGGAGGCUGUGUCCAGCUCCCUCAGGAAUGGCAUUGGGUCACAGAGGCCUUGGCCUCCCCAGGCUGAGCAGAGCUCUGGUAUCAAUCUUCUGACAAAUUAGGCAAGUUUAGAUAGCAUGAGAUGAGUACAGCCCCUCAGGAAUCCCUCUGGAUACUUGGUAUCCUUAAAUCAUUCCCCAUUCCCACCUGAUUUGAAUAAAUCCUCAGCUUUUGCAUUGGAUCUAAUUUAC